This 576-nucleotide ribosomal RNA is filed under the name uncultured bacterium. Its description in RNAcentral is "partial 16S ribosomal RNA". It matches the Rfam family "Bacterial small subunit ribosomal RNA", at positions 355 to 923 of the family's 1533-position model. The record is from RNAcentral.
UGGGGAAUUUUGGACAAUGGGCGAAAGCCUGAUCCAGCAAUGCCGCGUGUGUGAAGAAGGCCUUCGGGUUGUAAAGCACUUUUGUCCGGAAAGAAAUCCUUGGCUCUAAUACAGUCGGGGGAUGACGGUACCGGAAGAAUAAGCACCGGCUAACUACGUGCCAGCAGCCGCGGUAAUACGUAGGGUGCAAGCGUUAAUCGGAAUUACUGGGCGUAAAGCGUGCGCAGGCGGUUUGCUAAGACCGAUGUGAAAUCCCCGGGCUCAACCUGGGAACUGCAUUGGUGACUGGCAGGCUAGAGUAUGGCAGAGGGGGGUAGAAUUCCACGUGUAGCAGUGGAAUGCGUAGAGAUGUGGAGGAAUACCGAUGGCGAAGGCAGCCCCCUGGGCCAAUACUGACGCUCAUGCACGAAAGCGUGGGGAGCAAACAGGAUUAGAUACCCUGGUAGUCCACGCCCUAAAACGAUGUCAACUAGUUGUUGGGGAUUCAUUUCCUUAGUAACGUAGCUAACGCGUGAAGUUGACCGCCUGGGGAGUACGGUCGCAAGAUUAAAACUCAAAUGAAUUGACGGGGUCAUA